Hydra vulgaris (swiftwater hydra) is the source of this 375-nucleotide non-coding RNA. Lineage: Eukaryota; Metazoa; Cnidaria; Hydrozoa; Anthoathecata; Hydridae. The record is from RefSeq and is a predicted model, not a curated record.
CGAGGAUAUUUUUACGAAUUUAUAGUAUAUCGGGUGUGCUGAUUUCAGAAAUGAUAUUAGUUUUCCACGAUUGGCUCUAGUUCUUGAGAUACAGGGUGUUCCAGAUAUAUUCUUAUACAAAUAUCUUCGUUCAUGCAUAUUUUACAAACACAAUGAGUUCUUCACGAAGAGGAUGUUUGAAUAACCCCAAUGCAUUCUGCCACAUCUGUGGUGAAUAUUGCCAGGAGAGCCAAAGAAGAAAUAUUACUAACUUUGUGAAGCAAGCAUAUCUGGCAUACUUUGGAAUGAAACUCGGAGACCAAGAUAAGUCUUGGGCUCCCCAUAUUGUAUGUAAAACGUGUGUCGAAAAUCUACGUCAGUGGAAAAAUGGACAAA